RNAcentral lists this transfer RNA (98 nucleotides) under Desulfobulbaceae bacterium. RNAcentral describes it as "tRNA-Sec". It matches the Rfam family "Selenocysteine transfer RNA". The record is from RNAcentral. Lineage: Bacteria; Pseudomonadati; Thermodesulfobacteriota; Desulfobulbia; Desulfobulbales; Desulfobulbaceae.
GGAAGUGGAUAGGGCACUGGUGGCCCUCCCGGACUUCAAAUCCGGUGUGUCGGGUGAACAAUCCGACGGGUGGGUUCGAUUCCCAUGCACUUCCGCCA